This 231-nucleotide ribosomal RNA is filed under the name uncultured bacterium. RNAcentral describes it as "partial 16S ribosomal RNA". It matches the Rfam family "Bacterial small subunit ribosomal RNA", at positions 103 to 334 of the family's 1533-position model. The record is from RNAcentral.
CGGGUGAGUAACACGUAUCCAACCUGCCGUCUACUCUUGGACAGCCUUCUGAAAGGAAGAUUAAUACAAGAUGGCAUCAUGAGUUCACAUGUUCACAUGAUUAAAGGUAUUCCGGUAGACGAUGGGGAUGCGUUCCAUUAGAUAGUAGGCGGGGUAACGGCCCACCUAGUCUUCGAUGGAUAGGGGUUCUGAGAGGAAGAUCCCCCACAUUGGAACUGAGACACGGUCCAA